GAUGAACGCUGGCGGCGUGCCUAAUACAUGCAAGUCGAGCGAACAGACGAGGAGCUUGCUCCUUCGACGUUAGCGGCGGACGGGUGAGUAACACGUAGGUAACCUCCUAUAAGACUGGGAUAACUUCGGGAAACCGGAGCUAAUACCGGAUAAUAUUUCGAACCGCAUGGUUCGAUAGUGAAAGAUGGCUUUGCUAUCACUUAUAGAUGGACCUGCGCCGUAUUAGCUAGUUGGUAAGGUAACGGCUUACCAAGGCAACGAUACGUAGCCGACCUGAGAGGGUGAUCGGCCACACUGGAACUGAGACACGGUCCAGACUCCUACGGGAGGCAGCAGUAGGGAAUCUUCCGCAAUGGGCGAAAGCCUGACGGAGCAACGCCGCGUGAGUGAUGAAGGUCUUCGGAUCGUAAAACUCUGUUAUUAGGGAAGAACAAACGUGUAAGUAACUGUGCACGUCUUGACGGUACCUAAUCAGAAAGCCACGGCUAACUACGUG
Molecule: ribosomal RNA, 496 nt
Filed under: uncultured bacterium
Lineage: Bacteria
Description: partial 16S ribosomal RNA
Rfam family: Bacterial small subunit ribosomal RNA
Source: RNAcentral